GAAUUGCGAAAAGUAAUGUGAAUUGCAUAAUUCCGUGAAUCAUCAAAUCUUUGAACGCACCUUGCGCUAGCUGGAAUUCCGGCUAGCAUGCCUGUUUGAGUAUCAGUUUACCUAAUCACCUCACGGUGGACUUGGGCGGCGUAUCUUACCCGCUUUAAAUAUAUGAGUGCUACACCAAGUGCCAAUAGAGCCAGUCCCUCGGGAAUGUCUAUUAGUAACUAGUCGAAUCCUCUAAUCAACUGAAUCAAUGAUCUCAAAUCAAGCAAGACAACCCGCUGAACUUAA
RNAcentral lists this unclassified non-coding RNA (285 nucleotides) under uncultured fungus. RNAcentral describes it as "sequence contains ITS1". The stretch from base 1 to 105 matches the Rfam family "5.8S ribosomal RNA", at positions 50 to 154 of the family's 154-position model. The record is from RNAcentral. Lineage: Eukaryota; Fungi.